CCCCCAUUGUACCUUACAUGUUGGAGUUCAGGGACCGCCUGGAGGCCCUAACCCAGGCCGUGCGCACCAAUCUCCAGGCGGCCCAAAAACGACAGCGCCGCUGGUAUGACAGGGGAGCCGGAGACUGCAGCUUUCAAGUGGGACAGAAAGUGUUGAUUUUAAAACCUGUCCGCACCGACAAGCUGCAGGCCAUCUGGCAAGGCCCAAACCUGGUGGUGAAAC
Molecule: non-coding RNA, 222 nt
Organism: Pelobates cultripes (western spadefoot toad)
Lineage: Eukaryota; Metazoa; Chordata; Amphibia; Anura; Pelobatidae
Source: the annotation of a GenBank genome assembly